GCUGUCGCUCGGCGUUGUCAUGGCGCUGGAGGCGCUGCGGGCGCGCGGCGUGCGCCUGGCGCUGCUGGCGGCCUUCGCGGCGGGCGUGCUGGUGGGCUGGCAGGCCGGGCGCGCCCGCCGCCGCUUCCUCCAGUGGCGCAAGCGCCGGCUCCAGCAGCGCCUGGCCGCCGCGCAGCAGCAGCUGGAGCUCGCCUGAGCGCGCUGAGCCGGGGGGGCUCCGCUCCCGCGCGCCCCUGGUGUUGAUGGGAGCAGACAGCAAAUGUACGUAACAGGCUCAUCUUGCAUCUCUGUCUAAGUGGAUUUAAAAGGAACUAUUUUAAAAAUCAUGUUACAGCAUGGGAAGGAAAGCAUCUUGUAGAGUUCCAAGAUGAAACUGCUGUCAGAAAAAAGAUCUUCACCCACAUCAGACUAAAUAAACCAUCUAGCAAAGCGUUGAGAAAUGAAUUAUGAACAGAACAGCAACAAAUAUUUUUCCUUAUUUGGAAGGACUAGCUCUACUUAAUUUUGCUUUGUAAUCCUAAAGUCAUCUACUGAGAUAUAUAUUGUAUAUUGUUCUGUGCUUACCAAGAGGUACUACUGGUACAUUAUACUGUUAAAAAGUAUACAUGGAUUAAACUGGUAAAAAGCUUA
Long non-coding RNA from Rhea pennata, 630 nucleotides. RefSeq lists it as uncharacterized. The transcript is spliced from 2 exons. NCBI's taxonomy places the organism in Eukaryota, Metazoa, Chordata, Aves, Rheiformes, Rheidae. The record is from RefSeq and is a predicted model, not a curated record.